AUUGAACGCUGGCGGCAGGCCUAACACAUGCAAGUCGAACGGUAGCACAGAGAGCUUGCUCUCGGGUGACGAGUGGCGGACGGGUGAGUAAUGUCUGGGAAACUGCCCGAUGGAGGGGGAUAACUACUGGAAACGGUAGCUAAUACCGCAUAACGUCGCAAGACCAAAGUGGGGGACCUUCGGGCCUCACACCAUCGGAUGUGCCCAGAUGGGAUUAGCUAGUAGGUGGGGUAAUGGCUCACCCAGGCGACGAUCCCUAGCUGGUCCGAGAGGAUGACCAGCCACACUGGAACUGAGACACGGUCCAGACUCCUACGGGAGGCAGCAGUGGGGAAUAUUGCACAAUGGGCGCAAGCCUGAUGCAGCCAUGCCGCGUGUAUGAAGAAGGCCUUCGGGUUGUAAAGUACUUUCAGCGGGGAGGAAGGCGGUGAAGUUAAUAGCUUCACCGAUUGACGUUACCCGCAGAAGAAGCACCGGCUAACUCCGUGCCAGCCGCCGCGGUAA
This 504-nucleotide ribosomal RNA is filed under the name uncultured bacterium. RNAcentral's name for it is "partial 16S ribosomal RNA". It matches the Rfam family "Bacterial small subunit ribosomal RNA", at positions 29 to 523 of the family's 1533-position model. The record is from RNAcentral.